UCAAGGAGUUCAUUGUCCUUUCUGGAGGCAGGGCUGACACAGCGACCUCCUCAUGUGGAAUCACCCGGAACCAUUUCUGUUCCAGCUCUUCUGUUUUUUGGCAAGUGCAUUUUUUCAGGUCUCACAGGCAGGAGGCUGCAGGGUUACUAUUCACAGGCAGGCUUCAUCUAUCUAAGAACCUGCUGGGCAUCUUCUCCCCCAAGGGACGUCUCCCAGGAUGUCCUUGCAGUGCAGAGAGGCUCUGGGUUCCUGGACCCAAGAUAUAAUGGCUCUACAAGUGUUGGUGAGCUGAACCCAUGAGGCCUGUGACUGCAGCAGAAGGUCCAUACGUCUAGUUUGAUUUAACAGCUCCCACGUGAUCCUCUGCUACAGCUGGAAGACAGUGUCACCACGCCUUCCCCAUGUGAUGGGUGUAGCCCUGAAAUGUGAGCCCAGCUAAAAAUUGAGGAUGAAAGUCUAGGUGACUUUCUGGUGGCUGUGCAGAUGAGAAGUCGGACAGUGGCACUGCAGUUUGCUCUGAUUGACUCUGGAGCCUGUGUUUGAAGCUACAGCAAUACAACAGUCUGCUCCAGCGCUGAGCUUGUAGGAAGGCGACCACUCCAGGCCGACUCAAUGGCUUUAGCCUCCAGAGUUAUCGUCGUUUGGCAGGAAGUCUUAAAGAACCCCACAGCGUGCCCUUCCGCCCCUGGCACAUCAUAAGCUAUUUUGGGAUGAGUCAUCGGAAUUCUGUGGUUUGCAUAUCCUGAAGGGGAAGAGAAGACACUGUAUGGCUAACAUUUAUUUGAAAUAGCAAGUUGGAAAGAAAAAUUCUUCGAUAAAAGUUCAGCAUUAGAUGUGAAAAAGCUGCUUCACACUCUUGCUGCCACAGCUGAGAGACACUCCUUUUGCCAUGUCCUUCAUGCUCUGAUGGACUGUUCCUUUAAACCAUGAGUCAAAAGAAACCCUUCAACACUUAAGUUUCUUCCUGUCAGGUGAUGAUAUUCUGCCUUGUAUUGGAGCAAGGAAGCAGCAGGCAUUGACCUUCCACUAUGUUCUUAUACAGAGAAGGCUUCUGGGUCUCACCAGAAGGAAAGCUCAAGGAAAAGCCAUGUGGGAGAAGCCAAUGUUUCCUAGAGCCUCAGAAUUUUGGAAUAAAAAAGGUUUGAUUUACUGCUGGAA
This 1158-nucleotide long non-coding RNA is filed under the name Mus musculus (house mouse). Its description in RNAcentral is "predicted gene 12610". Lineage: Eukaryota; Metazoa; Chordata; Mammalia; Rodentia; Muridae. The record is from RNAcentral.